CUGCGGGCGCGGGAGGCACAGUCCGGGCUGAGUGACGCAGAGCGCUGCGGUCGGCUCCACUGCAUCGGGCACGUGGCACACACUCUGGAGAGAUGCGGGCUGCUCCGCGGGGCCAGGGCAGCGGUGCUGCGCGGGGGUGCGGGUGACGCCGGGCGCCAGCUGCUCAGAGCAGGUACGUGCGGGCGGGAGGGAGGGAGGGCACCAGCACGGAAGCUUGUGAAGGUUGCGGCGGGUGCAGGAGCGCGGAACCGGGUGCCAAGUGCGUGCAGGGCGCGGGGUGCGGGGACCAAGGUGGAGGGUCUCGGCGCUGCUGCGGGGCGCGGCUGGAUUCGGGGCGCUGGUGCAGGGAGCGGCGGGGUUCGGGGUGCGGAGUUUGGGGCGCCGGUGCAGGGCGCGGCGGGGUUUGGGGCGCGGGCGGGAUUCAGGGCGCCGGUGCAGGGCGCGGCGGGGUUGGGGGAGCGGGCUGGAUUCGGGGCGCCGGUGCAGGGCGCGGCGGGGUUGGGGGAGCGGGCUGGAUUCGGGGCGCCGGUGCAGGGCGCGGCGGGGUUGGGGGAGCGGGCUGGAUUCGGGGCGCCGGUGCAGGGCGCGGCGGGGUUGGGGGAGCGGGCUGGAUUCGGGGCGCCGGUGCAGGGCGCGGCGGGGUUGGGGGAGCGGGCUGGAUUCGGGGCGCCGGUGCAGGGCGCGGCGGGGUUGGGGGAGCGGGCUGGAUUCGGGGCGCCGGUGCAGGGCGCGGCGGAGUUUGGGGCGCGGGCUGGAUUCGGGGCGCAGGUGCAGGGCGCGGUGGGGUUCGGGGGGCGCAGGUGCAGGGCGCGGUGGGUUCGGGGGGCGCAGGUGCAGGGCGCGGUGGGGUUCGGGGGGCGCAGGUGCAGGGCGCGGUGGGUUCGGGGGGCGCAGGUGCAGGGCGCGGUGGGGUUCGGGGGGCGCUGGUGCAGGGCGCUGCGGUGUUUGGGGCGCGGGCUGAUUCAGGGCGCCGGUGCAGGGCGCGGCGGGAUUCGGGGGCACCGGCGGGGUUCUGGGCGCGGACUGGAGCGCCGAGUGUGCCCAGACUCAGAGCCCGGUGCUGUCUGUCCUCGGGGCGCCUUGCCGCUGGGGCGACCCUGUCCGGCUGCCGCGAGGGGCCGGGAGAUGAGGGACUCAGCGGUCCCCAGGCCCCUGCUCCUCUGCCGGGACCCCAGGACUCGCUUUUGCGACGCUGACUUCCUCCGUCCCCGCCCCCGCCUCUGCCUGUCUGGUCUCCGAAGCUCUGGCUUCCAUUCGGGGAUUUCAGAGGAUGCCCGAGCAACCUCCGGAGAGGGCAGGGGGGCCACACGGUUUACCCAGGGAGGACAGGGCGCUGGUGCGGGAGGCCCGCCCUGCCCAGACAGAACCUUCCCUUUCCCGGUGACUGCUGGGCUGGCUGGGCGGGUGCUGCCGGCACACCUGGGUCCUCGGGAGUCUCCGGGACUCGGGCACCAGCGAGCCUUGAAUUAG
RNAcentral lists this long non-coding RNA (1470 nucleotides) under Callithrix jacchus (white-tufted-ear marmoset). RNAcentral describes it as "lncRNA (ENSCJAG00000073226.1)". The record is from RNAcentral. Lineage: Eukaryota; Metazoa; Chordata; Mammalia; Primates; Cebidae.